AUACGUAGGGAGCGAGCGUUGUCCGGAAUUACUGGGUGUAAAGGGAGCGUAGGCGGGACUGCAAGUCAGAUGUGAAAUACCGGGGCUUAACCCCGGAGCUGCAUUUGAAACUGUGGUUCUUGAGUGAAGUAGAGGCAAGCGGAAUUCCUGGGGUAGCGGUGAAAUGCGUAGAUAUCAGGAGGAACACCGGUGGCGAAGGCGGCUUGCUGGGCUUUUACUGACGCUGAGGCUCGAAAGCGUGGGUAGCAAACAGGAUUAGAUACCCUGGUAGUCCACGCUGUAAACGAUGAUUACUAGGUGUGGGGGGACUGACCCCUUCCGUGCCGCAGUUAACACAAUAAGUAAUCCACCUGGGGAGUACGGCCGCAAGGUUGAAACUCAAAGGAAUUGACGGGG
Molecule: ribosomal RNA, 396 nt
Filed under: uncultured bacterium
Lineage: Bacteria
Description: partial 16S ribosomal RNA
Rfam family: Bacterial small subunit ribosomal RNA
Source: RNAcentral